AGGACGAACGCUGGCGGCGUGCUUAACACAUGCAAGUCGAGCGGUAAGGCUCCUUCGGGAGUACACGAGCGGCGAACGGGUGAGUAACACGUGAGCAAUCUGCCCUUCACAUCGGAAUAACUUCGGGAAACCGAAGCUAAUACCGGAUACGACCAUCGCGGGCAUCCUCGAUGGUGGAAAGUUCCGGCGGUGAAGGAUGAGCUCGCGGCCUAUCAGCUUGUUGGUGGGGUAAUGGCCCACCAAGGCGACGACGGGUAGCCGGCCUGAGAGGGUGACCGGCCACACUGGGACUGAGACACGGCCCAGACUCCUACGGGAGGCAGCAGUGGGGGAAUAUUGGACAAUGGGCGAAAGCCUGAUGCAGCGACGCCGCGUGAGGGAUGACGGCCUUCGGGUUGUAAACCUCUUUCAGCAGGGACGAAGCGCAAGUGACGGUACCUGCAGAAGAAGCGCCGGCCAACUACGUGCCAGCAGCCGC
Molecule: ribosomal RNA, 478 nt
Filed under: uncultured bacterium
Lineage: Bacteria
Description: SSU rRNA
Rfam family: Bacterial small subunit ribosomal RNA
Source: RNAcentral